CGAGCAAGUGAGGCGAUUGCUCCUUUUUUUCGCGAAAACGAGAGGAAGGGGAGGAAAGUCCGAACUCCCUUUCCCUAUUAGAUAGCGCGCAAGCGUCCAUUUAAUGGGGUCAAAAAAGAUAGCGGGUAACGCCCGCCGACCGCGAGGUCAGAGGUGCGAACAGAGACGUUCCGAACCGAAAGGCGAGGAACGCCCAGUACAUAAUAAAUUAUGUGCUGGGCGAGCUUUCGAAGCAGUUUGGGGCUUGCCCUGAGCGAAGUCGAAGGGUGAAACGGCCAAAUCCUUAUCGGGCGCAAGAGCAAACCCGGAAGAAAUUUUUAUGAUUUUUUUCGGUUCAAAGUGGCUCGCUUGAGCCCAACGGUAACGUCGGGCCCAGACAAAUAAUCGUUUGAGAAACAGAAUUCGGCUUACGGCUUACUCGGUUU
Molecule: RNase P RNA, 425 nt
Filed under: bacterium
Lineage: Bacteria
Description: RNase P RNA component class A
Rfam family: Bacterial RNase P class A
About the family: Ribonuclease P (RNase P) is a ubiquitous endoribonuclease, found in archaea, bacteria and eukarya as well as chloroplasts and mitochondria. Its best characterised activity is the generation of mature 5'-ends of tRNAs by cleaving the 5'-leader elements of precursor-tRNAs.
Source: RNAcentral